UUUUUCCCCGGAGUCUUGCUCCCCGGAAAAAGAGGAGUGGCGAACGGGUGAUUAGCCGUGGGUAACCUGCCCAUCAAAAGGGGAUAACACUUGGAAACAUGUGCUAAUACCGUAUAACAAUCGAAACCGCAUGGUUUUGAUUUGAAGGGCGGUUUCGGGUGUCGCUGAUGGAUGGACCGGCGGUGCAUUAGCUAGUUGGUGAGGUAACGGCUCACCAAGGCGACGAUGCAUAGCCGACCUGAGAGGGUGAUCGGCCACAUUGGGACUGAGACACGGCCCAAACUCCUACGGGAGGCAGCAGUAGGGAAUCUUCGGCAAUGGACGAAAGUCUGACCGAGCAACGCCGCGUGAGUGAAGAAGGUUUUCGGAUCGUAAAACUCUGUUGUUAGAGAAGAACAAGGAUGAUAGUAACUGUUCAUCCCUUGACGGUAUCUAACCAGAAAGCCACGGCUAACUACGUGCCACCAGCCGCGGUAAUACGUAGGUGGCAAGCGUUGUCCGGAUUUAUUUGGCCGUAAAGCGAGCGCAAGCGGUUUUCUUUAAGUCUGAUGGUGAAAGCCCCCCGGCUUCACCCGGGGAAGGGUCAUUGGGAAACUUGGAAAAACUUGAGUGGAAAAAAAA
This 621-nucleotide ribosomal RNA is filed under the name Enterococcus hirae. Its description in RNAcentral is "bacterial SSU rRNA". It matches the Rfam family "Bacterial small subunit ribosomal RNA", at positions 72 to 657 of the family's 1533-position model. The record is from RNAcentral. Lineage: Bacteria; Bacillati; Bacillota; Bacilli; Lactobacillales; Enterococcaceae.